RNAcentral lists this ribosomal RNA (392 nucleotides) under uncultured bacterium. RNAcentral describes it as "bacterial SSU rRNA". It matches the Rfam family "Bacterial small subunit ribosomal RNA", at positions 28 to 419 of the family's 1533-position model. The record is from RNAcentral.
GACGAACGCUGGCGGCGUGCUUAACACAUGCAAGUCGAGCGGUAAGGCCCUUUCGGGGGUACACGAGCGGCGAACGGGUGAGUAACACGUGGGUGACCUGCCCUCAGCUCUGGGAUAAGCCUGGGAAACUGGGGUCUAAUACUGGAUAUGACUCCACGGUGCAUGUCGUGGGGUGGAAAGCCUUGUGCGGCUGAGGAUGGGGCCCGCGGCCUAUCAGCUUGUUGGUGGGGUGANGGCCUACCAAGGCGACGACGGGUAGCCGGCCUGAGAGGGCGACCGGCCACACUGGGACUGAGACACGGCCCAGACUCCUACGGGAGGCAGCAGUGGGGAAUCUUGCGCAAUGGGCGAAAGCCUGACGCAGCGACGCCGCGUGAGGGAUGACGGCCUGG